GAUGAAGAACGCAGCGAAAUGCGAUACUUGGUGUGAAUUGCAGAAUCCCGUGAACCAUCGAGUCUUUGAACGCAAGUUGCGCCCGAAGCCAUCAGGUUGAGGGCACGUCUGCCUGGGCGUCACAUAUCGUUGCCCAAUGCCUAUUGCAGUGCAAUAGGAAUUUCUAGGGCGAAUGAUGGCUUCCCGUGAGCGUUGUUGCCUCGCGGUUGGUUGAAAAUCGAGUCCUUGGUAGGGUGUGCCAUGGUAGAUGGUGGUCGAGUUAGAACGAUACCGAUCAUGUGCAUGCUCCCCAAAAUAUGGCCUCUAUGACCCACAAGCGUCUUUUGACGCUCAUGACGAGACCUCAGGUCAGGCGGGGCUACCCGCUGAAUUUAAGCAUAUCAAUAAGCGGAGGA
Molecule: unclassified non-coding RNA, 395 nt
Filed under: soil metagenome
Description: partial contains 5.8S ribosomal RNA, internal transcribed spacer 2, and large subunit ribosomal RNA
Rfam family: 5.8S ribosomal RNA (bases 1-122)
Source: RNAcentral